AUCGAUGAAGAACGCAGCGAAAUGCGAUAACUAAUGUGAAUUGCGGAAUUCAGUGAAUCAUCGAGUCUUUGAACGCACAUUGCGCCCCCUGGUAUUCCGGGGGGCAUGCCUGUCCGAGCGUCAUUGCUGCCCUCAAGCACGGCUUGUGUGUUGGGCUCCGUCCCCCCGGGGACGGGUCCGAAAGGCAGCGGCGGCACCGAGUCCGGUCCUCGAGCGUAUGGGGCUUUGUCACCCGCUCUGUAGGCCCGGCCGGCGCCAGCCGACAACCAAUCAUCCUUUUUUCAGGUUGACCUCGGAUCAGGUAGGGAUACCCGCUGAACUUAAGCAUAUCAAUAAGCGGAGGAAAAGAAACCAACAGGGAUUGCCUCAGUAACGGCGGGUGAAGCGGCAACAGCUCAAAUUUGAAAUCUGGCUUCGGCCCGAGUUGUAAUUUGCAGAGGAUGUUUAUGGUGCGGUACCUUCCGAGUUCCCUGGAACGGGACGCCACAGAGGGUGAGAGCCCCGUCUGGUUGGAUACCAAACCUGUGUUAAACUCCUUCAACGAGUCGAGUAGUUUGGGAAUGCUGCUCUAAAUGGGAGGUAAAUCUCUUCUAAAGCUAAAUACCGGCCAGAGACCGAUAGCGCACAAGUAGAGUGAUCGAAAGAUGAAAAGCACCUUGAAAAGGGGGUUAAACAGUACGUGAAAUUGUUGAAAGGGAAGCGAUUAUGACCAGACUUGUGCCGUGUGGCUCAUCCGAGGUUCUCCCCGGUGCACUCCACACGGUUCAGGCCAACAUCGGUUUUCGUCGGGGGAUAAGAAUAGUAGGAACGUGGCUUUCUUCGGAGAGUGUUAUAGCCUAUUAUACGAUACCCUGACGGGGACCGAGGACCGCGCUUCGGCAAGGAUGUUGGCGUAAUGGUCAUUACCGACCCGUCUUGAAACACGG
RNAcentral lists this ribosomal RNA (926 nucleotides) under uncultured Ascomycota. Its description in RNAcentral is "eukaryotic LSU rRNA". The stretch from base 288 to 926 matches the Rfam family "Eukaryotic large subunit ribosomal RNA", at positions 1 to 664 of the family's 3401-position model. Lineage: Eukaryota; Fungi; Ascomycota. The record is from RNAcentral.